AUCUCUUGGUUCCAGCAUCGAUGAAGAACGCAGCGAAAUGCGAUAAGUAAUGUGAAUUGCAGAAUUCAGUGAAUCAUCGAAUCUUUGAACGCACAUUGCGCCCCUCGGUAUUCCGGGGGGCAUGCCUGUCCGAGCGUCAUU
RNAcentral lists this ribosomal RNA (141 nucleotides) under Platismatia glauca. RNAcentral describes it as "5.8S ribosomal RNA". It matches the Rfam family "5.8S ribosomal RNA". From Rfam's summary of the family: 5.8S ribosomal RNA (5.8S rRNA) is a component of the large subunit of the eukaryotic ribosome. It is transcribed by RNA polymerase I as part of the 45S precursor that also contains 18S and 28S rRNA. Lineage: Eukaryota; Fungi; Ascomycota; Lecanoromycetes; Lecanorales; Parmeliaceae. RNAcentral also lists the same sequence under 1 other name. The record is from RNAcentral.